CGUGCGGAAUUAAACUAAAAAGAGGUUACAGCUGUUAUAGACGAUAGACGUUGUGUAUUGAUCAUCUUUUUUCCACAAACAAAUUGGUCUUACCUUCUUCAACUGGGAGUAGUAUGUUCAUUUGUAAUGACAGUAGCCAAAUUGUUUCAGCUUGAACGCUACCGCCGAGGAACUAACUGCUGAGGCUCUAACCAAAGAGGCUCUGACCUCCGAAGAUUUUACGUCUGAAGAUUUUACUUCCGAAGAUUUUACCUCCGAGGCUUUCACCUCCGAAAAUUUUACCUCCGAGGAUCAAAAAACCGACGAUCUUGACCUGGCUAAAAAACUUGAAGAAUUACUAAAAAAGUUGAAAGAUGCCAAAACUAAACUGGACCUUGACUGGAAGACAUUAUCUAAGGAAUUACUUAAAAUGUUAAAAGAUGCCGCAAAGGAUCUGAAUCUGGACUGGCUAAAACUACUAGAGGAAUUACUAAAGAAGUGAGUCAAAUAACAAAAAACCUGUAAUCACCAAAUAAAGAACGACGUACUACGUUAAACUUAUUCCAAACUAGCUGUCCGGCGAAAAACGUACCGCCUAACAGUUGAUGAUAACAAUGCAGCACAUGCAUUUUGUUGUUAAUUCCUCAUUUCUUUAUCGUUUAAAAAUUCCCCGGACUUAAAUAAAAUUAGACUAAAAUAAGCAAAAUCCGUUCA
Molecule: long non-coding RNA, 693 nt
Organism: Trichoplusia ni (cabbage looper)
Lineage: Eukaryota; Metazoa; Arthropoda; Insecta; Lepidoptera; Noctuidae
Exons: 3
Source: RefSeq, a predicted model, not a curated record